GAGUUUGAUCGUGGCUCAGAUUGAACGCUGGCGGCAUGCCUUACACAUGCAAGUCGAACGGCAGCACGGGAGCUUGCUCCUGGUGGCGAGUGGCGAACGGGUGAGUAAUGCAUCGGAACGUAUCCUGGAGUGGGGGAUAACGUAGCGAAAGUUACGCUAAUACCGCAUAUUCUGUGAGCAGGAAAGCGGGGGACCUUCGGGGCCUCGCGCUCUUGGAGCGGCCGAUGUCGGAUUAGCUAGUUGGUGAGGUAAAGGCUCGCCAAGGCGACGAUCCGUAGCAGGUCUGAGAGGAUGAUCUGCCACACUGGAACUGAGACACGGUCCAGACUCCUACGGGAGGCAGCAGUGGGGAAUUUUGGACAAUGGGGGCAACCCUGAUCCAGCCAUGCCGCGUGAGUGAAGAAGGCC
RNAcentral lists this ribosomal RNA (408 nucleotides) under bacterium enrichment culture clone ALO1_GLFRUDD03GMQOK. RNAcentral describes it as "bacterial SSU rRNA". It matches the Rfam family "Bacterial small subunit ribosomal RNA", at positions 9 to 416 of the family's 1533-position model. The record is from RNAcentral.